GAUGAACGCUGGCGGCGUGCCUAAUACAUGCAAGUCGAGCGAACAGGCGAGGAGCUUGCUCCUCUGACGUUAGCGGCGGACGGGUGAGUAACACGUGGAUAACCUACCUAUAAGACUGGGAUAACUUCGGGAAACCGGAGCUAAUACCGGAUAAUAUAUUGAACCGCAUGGUUCAAUAGUGAAAGACGGUUUUGCUGUCACUUAUAGAUGGAUCCGCGCCGCAUUAGCUAGUUGGUAAGGUAACGGCUUACCAAGGCAACGAUGCGUAGCCGACCUGAGAGGGUGAUCGGCCACACUGGAACUGAGACACGGCCCAGACUCCUACGGGAGGCAGCAGUAGGGAAUCUUCCGCAAUGGGCGAAAGCCUGACGGAGCAACGCCGCGUGAGUGAUGAAGGUCUUCGGAUCGUAAAACUCUGUUAUUAGGGAAGAACAAAUGUGUAAGUAACUAUGCACGUCUUGACGGUACCUAAUCAGAAAGCCACGGCUAACUACGUG
This 497-nucleotide ribosomal RNA is filed under the name uncultured bacterium. RNAcentral's name for it is "partial 16S ribosomal RNA". It matches the Rfam family "Bacterial small subunit ribosomal RNA", at positions 28 to 507 of the family's 1533-position model. The record is from RNAcentral.